UACGUAGGGUGCGAGCGUUAAUCGGAAUUACUGGGCGUAAAGCGUGCGCAGGCGGUUUUGUAAGCCAGAUGUGAAAGCCCCGGGCUUAACCUGGGAAUGGCAUUUGGGACUGCAAGGCUGGAGUGUGGCAGAGGAGACUGGAAUUCCUGGUGUAGCAGUGAAAUGCGUAGAUAUCUGGAGGAACACCGGUGGCGAAGGCGGCAUCCUGGACCGACACUGACACUGAGGAGCGAAAGCCAGGGGAGCAAACGGG
RNAcentral lists this ribosomal RNA (253 nucleotides) under uncultured bacterium. Its description in RNAcentral is "partial 16S ribosomal RNA". It matches the Rfam family "Bacterial small subunit ribosomal RNA", at positions 524 to 776 of the family's 1533-position model. The record is from RNAcentral.